GAAAUGCGAUAAGUAAUGCGAAUUGCAGAAUUCAGUGAAUCAUCGAAUCUUUGAACGCACAUUGCGCCCGCUGGUAUUCUGGCGGGCAUGCCUGUCUGAGCGUCAUUUCAACCCCUCGCCCCCCGGCUCCUGUCAGGGGCGGUGUUGGGGAUCGACCGCCUGUAACUCCCAGGCGGUCGGCCCCUAAAUCCAUCGGCGACCACGCUGUGGCCCUCCUCUGCGCAGUAGUAACGACCUCGCAGUUGGAGCGCCCCGGCACCGGCCUGCCCUGCGGCACCACACAAGAACAAAGUUGACCUCAGAUCAGGUAGGGAUACCCGCUGAACUUAA
Molecule: unclassified non-coding RNA, 330 nt
Filed under: uncultured Ascomycota
Lineage: Eukaryota; Fungi; Ascomycota
Description: sequence contains ITS1
Rfam family: 5.8S ribosomal RNA (bases 1-105)
Source: RNAcentral